RNAcentral lists this ribosomal RNA (478 nucleotides) under uncultured bacterium. RNAcentral describes it as "partial 16S ribosomal RNA". It matches the Rfam family "Bacterial small subunit ribosomal RNA", at positions 28 to 507 of the family's 1533-position model. The record is from RNAcentral.
GAUGAACGCUGGCGGCGUGCUUAACACAUGCAAGUCGAACGAGAAGUGAAGACGGAAACCUUCGGGCGGAAGGCUUUAUUUCGAGUGGCGGACGGGUGAGUAACGCGUGGGUAACCUGCCUCAUACAGGGGGAUAACAGUUGGAAACGACUGUUAAUACCGCAUAAGACCACAGCACCGCAUGGUGCGGGGGUAAAAACUCCGGUGGUAUGAGAUGGACCCGCGUUCGAUUAGCCAGUUGGCGGGGUAACGGCCCACCAAAGCGACGAUCGAUAGCCGGUCUGAGAGGAUGACCGGCCACAUUGGGACUGAGCCACGGCCCAAACUCCUACGGGAGGCAGCAGUGGGGAAUAUUGCACAAUGGGGGAAACCCUGAUGCAGCGACGCCGCGUGAGUGAAGAAGUAUUUCGGUAUGUAAAGCUCUAUCAGCAGGGAAGAAAAUGACGGUACCUGAGGAAGAAGCCCCGGCUAACUACGUG